Long non-coding RNA from Cyanistes caeruleus (blue tit), 526 nucleotides. RefSeq lists it as uncharacterized. The record is from RefSeq and is a predicted model, not a curated record. NCBI's taxonomy places the organism in Eukaryota, Metazoa, Chordata, Aves, Passeriformes, Paridae.
CUGAGGGCUUAUAUGGCCACUGAAAGGAAUGCAGUCCUGGCUGAGUACUUUUUCCAGUGAAGAAAUGUUAAUUUGUUCCAUGCCAUCCCCAUUUUUUGUGCACCUAUGUUUAAAAUCAACUUUCACUGAUCACCUCAGAGAGAGAGAAUUUGUAAAUACACUGUAUUAAAUCAUGUUUGGUAUCAAACUGUGAACCAUGCUGAUAAAAGAAGAAUUGACCCAAACUACUCAACCUCAGUCUAAUGAGAUCAAAAGACAUCAGGCAAGAACUAAGCCACUCCUUCCCUGCUUUCAGCUUCUGAUUGUUUUCUGUUCACUGAACUCUCCAAUAUUAUUUGGUGAUAAGGACUAGGGAGAAGUGAGUAAGUUAUCAAAAUAAAUCAAAUAUGUCAAGAUGUGGGUAAUACCAAGUCUUCUAAGUGUGUAUAGAAAAAACAUGUGUGAAUAUGGAGAGCAAUUGUAUCUUUAAUGUACCUGGAUAUGGGAAUUCAUUUAUAAAUAAAUAUUUUAUCUGUCAGCUCGAGUA